This 852-nucleotide ribosomal RNA is filed under the name Halobacillus sp. RNAcentral describes it as "bacterial SSU rRNA". It matches the Rfam family "Bacterial small subunit ribosomal RNA", at positions 82 to 915 of the family's 1533-position model. Lineage: Bacteria; Bacillati; Bacillota; Bacilli; Caryophanales; Bacillaceae. The record is from RNAcentral.
GCUUGUGGAACGAGCGGCGGACGGGUGAGUAACACGUGGGCAACCUACCUGUAAGACUGGGAUAACUCCGGGAAACCGGGGCUAAUACCGGAUGAAACAAAGCGUCGCAUGACGCAAUGUUAAAAGGCGGCAUAUGCUGUCACUUACAGAUGGGCCCGCGGCGCAUUAGCUAGUUGGUGAGGUAAAGGCUCACCAAGGCAACGAUGCGUAGCCGACCUGAGAGGGUGAUCGGCCACACUGGGACUGAGACACGGCCCAGACUCCUACGGGAGGCAGCAGUAGGGAAUCUUCCGCAAUGGACGAAAGUCUGACGGAGCAACGCCGCGUGAGUGAUGAAGGUUUUCGGAUCGUAAAACUCUGUUGUUAGGGAAGAACAAGUGCCAUUCGAAUAGGUUGGCACCUUGACGGUACCUAACCAGAAAGCCCCGGCUAACUACGUGCCAGCAGCCGCGGUAAUACGUAGGGGGCAAGCGUUGUCCGGAAUUAUUGGGCGUAAAGCGCGCGCAGGCGGUCCUUUAAGUCUGAUGUGAAAGCCCACGGCUUAACCGUGGAGGGCCAUUGGAAACUGGAGGACUUGAGUACAGAAGAGGAGAGUGGAAUUCCACGUGUAGCGGUGAAAUGCGUAGAGAUGUGGAGGAACACCAGUGGCGAAGGCGACUCUCUGGUCUGUAACUGACGCUGAGGUGCGAAAGCGUGGGUAGCGAACAGGAUUAGAUACCCCUGGUAGUCCACGCCGUACACGAUGAGUGCUAGGUGUUUAGGGGGUUUCCGCCCCUUAGUGCUGAAGUUAACGCAUUAAGCACUCCGCCUGGGGGAGUACGGCCGCAAGGCUGAAACUCAAAAGAAUUGACG